GUGCUUGCUUUGGCAGCACAUAUACUAAAAUUGGAACGAUACAGAGAAGGUUAGCAUGGCCCCUGCGCAAGGAUGAUACACAAAUUCGUGAACCAUUCCAUUUUUUU
This 107-nucleotide small nuclear RNA is filed under the name Balaenoptera musculus (blue whale). Lineage: Eukaryota; Metazoa; Chordata; Mammalia; Artiodactyla; Balaenopteridae. The record is from RNAcentral.